This is a long non-coding RNA of Polypterus senegalus (gray bichir), 216 nucleotides long. RefSeq lists it as uncharacterized. The transcript is spliced from 3 exons. NCBI's taxonomy places the organism in Eukaryota, Metazoa, Chordata, Cladistia, Polypteriformes, Polypteridae. The record is from RefSeq and is a predicted model, not a curated record.
CCCCGGGCAGGGCGCCAGCCCACCGCAGUACUGCACAUCUGGGUUCUGACUGGCAUAAGGGAUCUAAGCAGCCCCUACAGAGCCAUGUAGCAACUCUGCACCACCGCUCAAGUAGAGAAGAUGAUUUUUCAACACUUCCACCCUAGAAAUGUUCAUGCAGUGUCGCUGUUGAUCAGAAGACGGUAGGAUGAGAACAACUGAGGACAGUAUGUUUGA